This 1700-nucleotide long non-coding RNA is filed under the name Chrysolophus pictus (golden pheasant). Its description in RNAcentral is "lncRNA (ENSCPIG00010004217.1)". Lineage: Eukaryota; Metazoa; Chordata; Aves; Galliformes; Phasianidae. The record is from RNAcentral.
UUAGAUAGCCCAAUAUAACGGAAUAAAAUCCACCAAAAGUUUUUAAUGUGCUUUAUAUCGACUGUAAAAUAGACAUCAGUAACUGUGCACUACAUUAUUGCAAUGGAAUUGACGUUAUUUCCAAUAUUUCAAAUCUAAAUAAGUAUUUUUUGUCAGACUGUUCACUGUCCAGUUAUAUUGGGAAGCAGAUCUGCAGUCUAACCAUUGGUGUGAUCAUAAUUUCUUGCUAUGUGUCCCAGGUUGAGUUAGAAACUUAAAAAUUUUCAAAAAGUGUGCCAUCCAAAUAAUGCUGAAGCCCCCAUCUAUUUCCAAAUAUGCAAUUAUUCCUUGAGAUUUCAAUCACACUUAACCCUGAUGGUUAGGUAAACACAUUCCUACAUUAGAGAUUCAAGACUUCAAUUUGUUAGUCCAGUGCUUGGGAAGUCAUGCUAGAAACUUUGCACGUUUGUUUAGGUUCAGUAUAUCUUGAAAUGAUGAGAACCACAGCAUAGUUGGCCAUGAGACUAUUUGUGAAAGAGAUGAAACGUUGUUUGCUUGUUUGUUAUUUAUACUUUGGGCAAGAUUCUUCCGCAUGUCAGAGCUUUGCUUGGCAAGAAAGAGAUACUGUGGUGUUGGCUAGGGAUCUCCAAGGUUCAAGGCCAACACUAGCUGCAUUGGAACUUUGGGAUGUUGCACACACCCCUGAUAUAUAUUAUGCUAAAGCCACAGAAGGCAAUGUCAAAGAAAUUGGCUUCGUCGCUUUACUUCUACUGCCUUCUUGUAUGCCUGGCUGGAGGACGAAAGUAGCAAUCUGCUUGUGCCAGCAAAGAGCCUCCUACACUAAAGGAAUAUUUUUGUCAUGUACUUUUGUCUAGACUGCAGCCCCUUUACAGUGUUAAAGCAACAUAUCUGUGAUAAAAUCAUUAAUGUAUCAUUGAGAUGGUCCCAUGAUCAUCUUCCAGUAUUAAGUUAUCACCCACUGCUGUUGAGACUCUUAAACUUGUCUUGGCUGGGAGACAGAACCAGGUACUUGUGGUCCCAAAUGCUUUCUCUUUGGCUUAUUCUGAAAUACCUUAAACAGACCAACAAUUACACUGUUGCAUUUACACUCUCAUAAAAGUAAGCCUUUGUGGUGCGCUAAGAUUGCACUACCUUAAAUUAUGUUAUUUUAAAUCACCCAACAUUGUUGACAUUCUUGGUCCUUUUGUGCCUACAUCCUGUGGUCCUCUUCCUACUGACAGUCACAGACUUCACUUCAGAAUGUUCUUUCUAAACCUCCUGCAAGAUGACAUUAGCAGACCCCAUUCUUCUCGUGACAGUAUCACAAGACUUCAAAACUGCUUUUAUGUUGUGAUAUGAGAACCAAAUCAACAUUCAUAUGCUGUCAGUCAGAAUUUGGACUUCAAAUUUACCAUUGAGCUCUCAGCAAAAAUGUAGAUUUUCUCCUCAGAUAUGUGAUUGAACAAUGAAUAUAUAUAUAUAUAUUUUUUUCCUGGAGCCAAGGUGUAAUCAUUAGGACUAGUUUAAAUAGCUAGAAACACCGAAAACUUCUUUUAUUGUAGGUAACUGUUGAGUCUGGUUAGAGCAAGAAUGGUGAUGAGGAUCUUGCCCUUGGAAUAAUGGAUGAACAAUGGGAUUUGGGUGUAAAGCAGGAGGUGUGGCUGCAUUUAGUUGUGGUGCAAAUAAGGCUGGGAUAUAUGCAGUAUGUGGCAGCAGGGGGA